RNAcentral lists this transfer RNA (71 nucleotides) under Kaloula borealis (Manchurian narrowmouth toad). Its description in RNAcentral is "tRNA-Ser". It matches the Rfam family "tRNA". From Rfam's summary of the family: Transfer RNA (tRNA) molecules are approximately 80 nucleotides in length. Lineage: Eukaryota; Metazoa; Chordata; Amphibia; Anura; Microhylidae. The record is from RNAcentral. RNAcentral also lists the same sequence under 5 other names.
AAGAAAGUGACAGAGAGGAUAUGUGUCUGGCUUGAAACCAGGGUAUGGGGGUUCGAUUCCCUCCUUUCUCG